GCGCGCCGAUGCAGACAUGGCCGCUGGUGUUCGACCAGUUCAUCGAGGAGAGGCUGGUCACAGACGUCCCCAAGAUCGGCGAGAAGGUGUGGGGCAGAGCACGGAGCACGAAGGAGGAGAAGGAGAUGGUGCCGGCCGAGGCGGUGACGUUGGGCGGUGGCGAGGUUCUUGGAACCAGGCGGAACGGGGGAGACGGCGAGGGGCCGAGUGCAGGAGCUCGCAGUGAAGGCUCGCGCGGCCGUGUCGGAAGGCGGGUCGUCCUGUGAUCUGCGCAGGCUUAUCGACGACCUGAUGGAAACAAGGGAGGCCGUCGCCGGCGGCGACACUACUACGUCACGCGCUGCUGAGAUAAAGCGCCAUCGUUGUAUUUCCCUGUUCUUCAAUCCGUUUGUAAACAUGUAACACCGGCCGCUUAAUAUGUUAUGCAUUUCCCUUUGCCUACUAUCCCUAUGGUGUUCAUCAUCUCAGGGAUUUGCUGGUACUGGAUCCAGCGGGAGGAGAUCCCUGAGGCAUUUGAUUCUUGUGGGAUUCCCACACAUCUUGCAGGAUCAACAGGUUAUCGGCACCUUCUCAGUCCCUCUGCACCCAUGACCCAGGUCAGCUCAAUCCCCUUUCCUCAUAGCAAAUUACUCUGUUGGAUGUGGAGGUCUUCCCAUGUUCCAUCAGAUGGCUUGCCUGGAUGAUGCAUCCAUGUUUUAAUGUGCUUUAGGCUGUGAGACAAAGUUUGAGGUUGAUCUGAUCUAUAAUUCAGUGUGACUUCAUUCAUAGAUUUGGGCUUUCUGGAUGUGGAUGUUUUUUUCUGCUGUUCAGAUGUGGAAUUCUGUAGACGUGAUCAUGCCAUGAGUGACCAUUGGACGAUGCCUCCAUGUUGUAUUGCGUUUUAUGUGGUGUUUGCUUUGAGAUAAAGUUUGAGGUCAAUCUGAUGUGUACCUAUUCUUUUUUAAUACAUUCAUAGGUUCGGUUCCUCUGGUGGUGGAGGAUUUUUUUUUUUGUUCUAUUCGGAUGUGCAAGAACUGGGCAGUUACUUGGUGUACCAUGUCCCAAUUUGCCUAAUUUAUAUGGGCCUUUUUAACAUAUUUUCUGAGUGGUGAUUAGUGUGCACAAAAAAUAUACAUUCGGAUACUUUUUUUUUCAGCAUACGCCUGCCAAAAGGAAAUGGUUCAACAACAUUUUAAAUGUACUAUUUGAAUUUGUAGUCAAUUAAGGAAGUAAAAAAGAGGAUUUGGUUAGUUUUGCUUUACACAAGCAAAUGUCGAGAAGCAUACUGUCCUAUUUUUCGAGUCAGUGAAUAAAUAGAGUACUUGUCCACACAAAAAUGAAUACAAAUGACUUUGUUAUAUGCUUAAUCAUAUUCUGUCUUUUCUCAAGAGCACGACACAAAUCGAAAGACUUUUCUGUACCAGGCCAAACCAAGUACUUGCAUAUUGAAGAAACUUCCAUGCUGUUUUACGUGUGGAUUCUAACAACUGAUCUAGCAUAUAUGUUAUCAUAGCAGAAUAAGAGAUGCGCUCCAACCAGUGGAUUUUUCAUCCAAGAUGCUUCUAUAAGAAAUGCGGCAAACAUCAGUAAUGGACUGCACCAGGUGGUGAAGCUGCACAUCAGGGGAGCCCAAUGUAUCAUCUCUGUGCCAUGGGGUGUGUCGUGGGGACUGAUCCGUGGCUGACGUCGACAAAAAAAAAACAGGGGAGCCCACUAACAACCAAAUUCCAGACUGGUUUUUGUCAUAUCAGACAUUAGUCAUGAAAGUUGCAGUCUUUCAUUUUUAUCAUACAAAGCACACUGAUUGGUUCUCACGGGAUAGCGAUGCCUUUCAGUUGUUCUUGUCAGUACAUCCGAGUAAGGAUAAGUGGAUAACUACACACUUCUAAAUUUGUCAAUACAUACAAAUUGAUCUUUCUGGUGAUUGCUUUGGUAAUAACUACAAACUUCUAAAUUUGUCAUCUUUUUGGUCUGCAUAGCUGAUUUCCCCUGAGGAUUGUAGUAACGUUUAAACAAGUAUUUACACUUCUAAACAAGUAUGGAAAAAGGCGACUUGCUUGGACUGAAUCAGCCAUAAACCUCCCUUAAUUAUGUGCAUGUCUAAAAAAACUUUAGGUCUGCCUCCCUGUAGAAAUACACAAGUAUAUUUGUAACACUUAGAUGCUUGCCUAUAUAAGCUUGCAUCACAGACUAGCAAGGAGGAAGACGAAGCCCGGGUUCAGCCCCGUUGGAGUUGGCAUCUGCUCACAGCAAGCUGCAGAUGAUGUUCGUAUUUUGUUUCUUUUCUCCUGUAGCAAACACAAGCAGGUGCUGAGAUAAGGCAGAAUUAUAUUCAGAUUCGUAGCUGCUAGGUAGUAUAUUUUAGCACUAAGUUUCUUUCAAAUUAUGGGCAUAAUCUGUGCGGAAUUUCAAUGUACUCCUAAAACAACAGUUGUUGCUCUUGUUUUUAUGUUUCCAAUGGUGCUGGUUUCACUGAAAUUUGAUUGGUAGUUUAGGAGUUAAGCCAGAAUAGGUGCUACUAUUUAAUAAUAGCGAGGCUGUGAGAUUUAUUUACCUAUAUUCAACCAAGUUAGAGACAGUUUUAGUCCCAAUCACCUUAAAUAAAGUUGUAGGAAAUUCUCUGUGGGUAUCUUAAAAUAGUUUAUUUGCUGAGAUCGGUUAAGCGGUUUAAAAGCUAUGAACAGAACAAUGAGUGACUCAGUAACUCAGUCGAAGUUUCAGCUAAACUUAGAACUGGUUAUUUAGGUUUUUUACUUCAGGGAAAUAUUAAUGUAUUCAUGAAAUAGAUAUUUAACCUUUUUUGUAUGUGAGUUGAUAUAACUUUUAUGUACUGCAGGCAGUUCGUUUAAAUCCACAUAACAGUGCCUUUAGUAGGCGAUAGCAAGGCAGUCAGACAAUCUUAGUUUGGGGAAAUAAGAUAGGUUACCUGACGAUACAUUGAAAGAGGAAGGAAUAUUGAUAUUUCAUCGAUGGCGUGACCUGCAAAAGGAUGCUCUUGGUGACAGCAUCCUGGGCUUCUGAAACAUGCCCAGUUCAGCUGAAAGGAUGUAUUCAAUUAUGCAGAGAGAUGGAAUUGUUCGAACUCCAGUGCCACCAAUCGACGACAUGCCAAGACAUUACCACAAGAGCAUCGGUGCUUCCAGGAUGAAGAAUGAAUGCAUGUCAUUUAGGGAUAACGGUGGGCAAUGAAAUGUUGAAGGGUCCAUCUCUCACCCCACUCCAUAUAGAUGCUUAGUUCUUCAUGGCGAUUGUCUCUAAUGUUUUUGUUUGUAAUAUAUUUUGGCUUGGAAAUAUAAAAACUCCAUGCCGCCUGUCACACAAUUUUUCGUCGUCCGGGCAAACCCCCUUUUCCAUUAAUUUCUUGAUGUAUGGUUAUGAUGCAGUCUUCUAGACGAAGAUGGAUUUAGGUUGUGUGAUUCCACAGUAUACAUUGCACUUCCUUUAAGCAUGAAUAUCUGAACGUGCACGGUGUAUAUUUCUCAGUCAUGUUGUUUUUCUGUUUAUAUUUCCAGGAUACAUAUAGUACAUGUAUUGCAUUAGAAUAUAACUUCUACUUCUGUGCUAUUAUUUUCCUUCAUGGUAUAUGUGGCAGAACACCAUGUAUAUCUAAUAUCUUCAGGUUUCAGGAUUUAAAUGCCCUUUGUUUUCUGUACGAGGUGGUUACCUGGGAUUUUAUUUGAUUACUCUAUUAGAUCAUGAGCAAAUUAAGACAUAUAUUGAUCUUGCAAUUGAUAGCAUUUCCUGUCAUAUUGUUGAUUCUCUUACAGAUCCACCACCUCAGAUGGUGCUGACAGGGGUGCAAAGCAGUCUUCCUUGAGCUUUGGUACUGAGUUUUAAGGAGAACAUUUGCCCUCAUGAAGCCCCACUUUGUGGUCAUUGCAGCUGUAGCUAAGGAGGGUACCCGUCAGCGCCAGCUCACUGCUUGCCUAUGUAAUCAAUCUAUAUUUGCAACCUUUUUGUUUAUGGUAAGUAGAACAACGCCUAGAAAGAAUGAAAGACCGUUUCUAAUUACCUUUGCUGCAUCUAACCUAACUGCCAUGCCUACGUGACCACUAAAGUACCAUUGUUUCAUCUGCAGCGUAGUCCAGAUUUAGUUUCAGUGAUUUCUUAACCCUUUUGUUCUUGCUCUGAAGAUUAAGACAUGCAUAGGCCUUAGACUAUAGUAAGCAUCUAUUUAUACGCAUCCUUCCGUUGCCAUGUAUACUAAAUGUAAUCAAGGACUUAUUAAUAUUGAUGUAUCCCCUCAGUUGUAUUGGUACUACUACAUAUUCGUCAUGACACUACCAAUUAUAUAUAGCAAAUUCAAAGGUGUCUAUAUGAUGCAUCUCUACCUAUGUGUCUUGCUUGUUAAAAACAAUGUAAAUAAGCUACAAGAUAACUAAAGAAGCAUGCAACUAUGUGGAAGAAGUGUGUGCUACAUCAAACAAAAUUCAUGGCCUUGCUGGCAUUAGCCUCGGACCCUGCUGCCUCAAUGUCUGUUUCUAAUCUGAAGCAGGCUCUCAUGGAGAUUCACGAUGUAGUGGUCGCACUUCAAAACACUUCAGCCACAACAUCUCAGUUCCUAGAGGAAAAAGGCAUGUACUCAGAUGAUGAAGUGCCUGAUCCAUUCUAUAGUGGGCAUUCUGAUGAAGAUUCAGCUGAUGAUUGUCAUCAAGACGUGGAUGACGACUAUGAUCACUAUGUCCGAUCCCCAUGAGCAUCGUAUUCAGCCUGCUAAGAUGUCUGAUGCCAUGUGAAGCUGUAUAUGUAUAGCUUCACCAUUACGACUUGGCCUUGUGGCUGUUGUGUUUAUUCUCCUAUGUUGGCUGAAUAAGAUGCGAAGCUCUUUGUUUAUAGCUCCGCCUUAGAUUUUUUUCCCCCUUUUUGAACUGUGCUAUGGUCAUGUAUAAUUAUGAAAUCCAUGUUGAUGCGUUGAGACAAUGUUAUUUAUCUAUGUUGCAUCUUUGCUUUUGCCCA
Molecule: long non-coding RNA, 4935 nt
Organism: Triticum dicoccoides
Lineage: Eukaryota; Viridiplantae; Streptophyta; Magnoliopsida; Poales; Poaceae
Exons: 4
Source: RefSeq, a predicted model, not a curated record